Molecule: ribosomal RNA, 259 nt
Filed under: uncultured Gardnerella sp.
Lineage: Bacteria; Bacillati; Actinomycetota; Actinomycetes; Bifidobacteriales; Bifidobacteriaceae
Description: partial 16S ribosomal RNA
Rfam family: Bacterial small subunit ribosomal RNA
Source: RNAcentral
CGAACGGGUGAGUAAUGCGUGACCAACCUGCCCCAUGCUCCAGAAUAGCUCUUGGAAACGGGUGGUAAUGCUGGAUGCUCCAACUUGACGCAUGUCUUGUUGGGAAAGUGUUUAGUGGCAUGGGAUGGGGUCGCGUCCUAUCAGCUUGUAGGCGGGGUAAUGGCCCACCUAGGCUUCGACGGGUAGCCGGCCCUGAGAGGGCGGACGGCCACAUUGGGACUGAGAGUACGGCCCAGACUCCGUACGGGAGGCAGCAGGC